CAUAUCAAUAAGCGGAGGAAAAGAAACCAACAGGGAUUACCUCAGUAACGGCGAGUGAAGCGGUAACAGCUCAAAUUUGAAAGCUAGCUCUUUUAGGGUUCGCAUUGUAAUUUGUAGAAGAUGCUUCGGGUGUGGCCCCGGUCUAAGUUCCUUGGAACAGGACGUCAUAGAGGGUGAGAAUCCCGUAUGUGACUGGGUGCUUUCGCUCAUGUGAAGCUCUUUCGACGAGUCGAGUUGUUUGGGAAUGCAGCUCAAAAUGGGUGGUAAAUUUCAUCUAAAGCUAAAUAUUGGCCAGAGACCGAUAGCGCACAAGUAGAGUGAUCGAAAGAUGAAAAGCACUUUGGAAAGAGAGUUAAACAGUACGUGAAAUUGUUGAAAGGGAAGCGCUUGCAACCAGACUUGCGCGCUGAUGAUCAUCCGGGCUUCUGCCCGGUGCACUCGUCUGCGCUCAGGCCAGCAUCGGUUUCGGUGGUGGGAUAAAGGCCUUGGGAAUGUAGCUCCUCUCGGGGAGUGUUAUAGCCCUCGGUGCAAUGCCGCCUACCGGGACCGAGGACCGCGCUUCGGCUAGGAUGCUGGCGUAAUGGUUGUAAGCGACCCGUCUUGAAACACGGACCAAGGAGUCUAACAUCUAUGC
RNAcentral lists this ribosomal RNA (634 nucleotides) under Cadophora luteo-olivacea. Its description in RNAcentral is "eukaryotic LSU rRNA". It matches the Rfam family "Eukaryotic large subunit ribosomal RNA", at positions 39 to 687 of the family's 3401-position model. Lineage: Eukaryota; Fungi; Ascomycota; Leotiomycetes; Helotiales; Ploettnerulaceae. The record is from RNAcentral.